GACGAACGUUGGCGGCGUGCUUAAUACAUGCAAGUCCACUGAAGCAGUGGUAGCAAUAUCGCUGUGGAGGUGGCGCACGGGUGAGUAACACGUAGGUAAUCUGCCUUCAGGUCUGGCAUAACUCCGGGAAACCGGGGCUAAUAGCAGAUGAUGCAGCGGCUCGACAUCGAGACAGUUGUUAAAGCUAUGGCGCCUGAAGAUGAGCCUGCGUCUGAUUAGCUAGUUGGCGGGGUAACGGCCCACCAAGGCAACGAUCAGUAGCUGGUCUGAGAGGAUGAUCAGCGACACUGGAACUGAGACACGGUCCAGACUACUACGGGAGGCAGCAGUAAGGAAUAUUGCUCAAUGGGUGAAAUCCUGAAGCAGCAACGCCGCGUGAGGGACGAAGGGCUUUUGCUUGUAAACCUCUGUAGUGAGAGAAAAAAAUCCCAAUCUUUGGGACAUGAUGGUAUCUCAAAAGUAAGCCCCGGCUAACUACGUG
This 481-nucleotide ribosomal RNA is filed under the name uncultured bacterium. Its description in RNAcentral is "partial 16S ribosomal RNA". It matches the Rfam family "Bacterial small subunit ribosomal RNA", at positions 28 to 507 of the family's 1533-position model. The record is from RNAcentral.